Molecule: ribosomal RNA, 408 nt
Filed under: uncultured bacterium
Lineage: Bacteria
Description: partial 16S ribosomal RNA
Rfam family: Bacterial small subunit ribosomal RNA
Source: RNAcentral
GACGAACGCUGGCGGCGUGCUUAACACAUGCAAGUCGAACGAAGUGGCGGACGGGUGAGUAACGCGUGAUCAACCUGCCCUUCAGAGGGGGUCAACAGUUGGAAACGACUGCUAAUACCCCAUACUGAAGGAGGGGUUGGCGGCGGAUUAGCUGGUUGGGGGGGUAAAGGCCCACCAAGGCGAUGAUCAGUCGCCGGGCUGAGGAGAUGAACGGCCACAUUGGGACUGAGAAACGGCCCAGACUCCUACGGGAGGCAGGAGGGGGGAAUCUUCCGCAAUGGGGGAAAGUCUGACGGAGCAACGCCGCGGGAGUGAUGACGGCCCUUGGGUUGGAAAGCUCUGUUAAUCGGGACGCGGUACCGGAAGAGAAAGCCACGGCUAACUACGUGCCAGCAGCCGCGGUAAUAC